Molecule: ribosomal RNA, 253 nt
Filed under: uncultured bacterium
Lineage: Bacteria
Description: partial 16S ribosomal RNA
Rfam family: Bacterial small subunit ribosomal RNA
Source: RNAcentral
UACGUAGGGGGCUAGCGUUGUCCGGAAUCAUUGGGCGUAAAGCGCGUGUAGGCGGUCCGGUAAGUCCGCUGUGAAAGUCGAGGGCUCAACCCUCGAAUGCCGGUGGAUACUGUCGGGCUUGAGUACGGGAGAGGCGAGUGGAAUUCCUGGUGUAGCGGUGAAAUGCGCAGAUAUCAGGAGGAAUACCGGUGGCGAAGGCGGCAUCCUGGACCGGCAUUGACGCUGAGGAGCGAAAGCUAGGGGAGCAAACGGG